Molecule: ribosomal RNA, 497 nt
Filed under: Erhaia sp. SWA-2013
Lineage: Eukaryota; Metazoa; Mollusca; Gastropoda; Littorinimorpha; Amnicolidae
Description: partial 16S ribosomal RNA
Rfam family: Bacterial large subunit ribosomal RNA
Source: RNAcentral
GGCUCACUCCUUGAAAAUAUAAGGAGCCGAACCUGCCCAGUGACAUUGAUUCAACGGCCGCGGUACUCUGACCGUGCAAAGGUAGCAUAAUCAUUUGCCCUAUAAUUGAGGGCUUGUAUGAAUGGUUUGACAAAAACAAUACUGUCUCUUAAAAAUUUACUAAAAUUUGGUUUUUAGGUGAAGAAACCUAAAUAAUAUUGAAAGACAAGAAGACCCUAUCGAGCUUAAAAAAUAUGUUAAUUAUAAUUAAAUUAAAACUAACUAAAAAAUUUGGUUGGGGCGACUAAGGAACAAACAAAGCUUCCUAUAAAUUAUAAAAAUUAAUAUAUAUUGAUCCAAAAAUUUUGAUUAAAAAAAUUAGUUACCGUAGGGAUAACAGCAUAAUCUUUUUAGAGAGAACAUAUCGAAAAAAAGGUUUGUGACCUCGAUGUUGGACUAGGAUAUCCCAAUAGAUGCAGAAGUCUUUAAAGGUUAGUCUGUUCGACUAAUAAAAUCCU